Long non-coding RNA from Marmota monax (woodchuck), 3091 nucleotides. RefSeq lists it as uncharacterized. The transcript has 3 exons. The record is from RefSeq and is a predicted model, not a curated record. Lineage: Eukaryota; Metazoa; Chordata; Mammalia; Rodentia; Sciuridae.
UAGAUCAGCACCAGCUCAUUUCAGCUCCCAGUUCAGGGCUAAAUACACAGUGGGCCUUCAUCAAAUACUUCCCUUUUUUCUUAUUCAGUAAGGAGUAGGUGAAAGAAUAAGUAUAAAAGGGAAGGAAAGGGUUGAGGCGGGAGUGGGGGUGUAGCAUCAGGUGACGAUUAAGAUUUGAGGUUGAGGUUUCCAUGUAGGUCUAGAACAUAUUUGGAGCCAGGAUGUAGGAGAAGAGCUGAGGUGGACUGCACCCAGCCUUGAGGAGGCAGUUAGGGCUGGAGAGAAGAUAAGGACUGGGAUCAAUAUUGGGGAGCGGGUACAACCAGGGAUGAGGUUGGUGUUGACAUCAGGAAGAGGACUCUGGCAGGCAUUUGGAUGAGGAUUGGGGUGGAGUAUGGGUUCCUGUGGAUGUUUGAAGAUGGAAGUUUGCUGUUAAAGUAAGGAUUGGGGAAGAAGCUGUGCGGGUCGUCGCAGCAGUACUUGUGGUCGCGGAAGCCACAGCAGAAGACAGCGGCCGCCUCGCCCCCUGGCCGUGGGCAGCUGAAGCCGUGCACCACCUCCUGCUCCGCGCUCACGUAGCUCGUGCAAGCGCCGGUCAUUGCGCCCCUCGCCCGGCCCGCCCUUUCGGCCACCAGACGGCUGGCGAGACAAGGGCCGGUGGAACGAAAGACUGGUGAAGACCGAGCCUAAGAAAGACUGAGAGAUUAGCAGAGGACAGUAGCCAAGAUUACUCCAGAUGGAGGAGCAUGAAGCCUGGCACUAGGCAAGCCCCAACAGGAAACAAUUUCUGCAUGGUACUCAAAACAAUGCCCUCUUGACCUUGGCUGCCUUGCUCCUGAAGCUGAGUUCCCCCAGGAGGGUCCGGAAAGAAACGACCCCUUGACCCCUCGCUGUGGUUGGCCUCACCAGAAGACUGGAUGACUGCAGUCAAGGGAGAUUGACAACUCAGGGGCAACUUGAGGCCCUAAUAACCAGUUCCUCUCCAUGUCACACAGCAAUCAAUGACCCAGGCAGAACUGGUACACAACCUCAGUCGUAUGUGUGGUCCAUGACUCGUCCCUGGCCUCUGAAUUUGUGGAGUGGAGCAGUACCUUUCCAUGCACCCUGCUGCCCCAAAUACACCUGCCCCACAGUGUGGACCCUGCCACAGACAUAUUCCCACUGCCAGGCUCCUCAUCGUUCACAGCAGCUGGAGAAGCAAAGGAAGUAUGUGGACCUCAGAGUGCCUGCUGAGGAAGGAUUCUUUCCCUUCAAGAAUGAGGCUGAUGUCUCAUUGUGAGGAAAGUGACUAUCCCCCAACAUCAAAUCCAGGGGUGAAUCUGGGAUGGUGGUGCAGAUCUCCUGAAACCACCCAGGAUCUUUCCCACUCUCUGAGACUACCACCCUUUGCAGGUUUGGGACUAUUUGCUGUUUGUUUUAUUACACCCCGCCCCACCUUUUUCCCCCCUUGUACUGGAGAUGGAAUCCAGGAGCCCUCUGUCACUGAGUUACAUCUUUUCAUUUUUUAAUUUGACUCAGUGUCUUGCUACAUCGUUGAGGCUGGCUUUGAACUUGCAAUCCUCCCGCAAGACUCCUGAGUUGCUGAGAUUACAGGUGAGCACACUGCAUGUGGCUUACCAUGAAACCUUUAAGACACACAGCAGAACUACCUCUGUACCCUCCACUUGGUUUAAGGAAAAAAAAAAGAAAGUCAGUCUUGUUUGAAGUCUCAUGUACUCCUCCCUCCUCCCCCAGAGGUAACCACUCUCUCAAAUUGGGUGUUAAUCAUUCCCAUGCUCUUUUUAUUACUAUUAUUAUUUUAGUGUAGAUGGACACAAUACCUUUAUUUUAUUUAUUUUUGUAUGGUGCUGAGGAUCAAACCCAGUGCCUCAAACAUGCUAGGCAAGCACUCUACCACUGAGCCAUAACCCCAGCCCAUUCCCACACCCUUAUUUAUGCUAUCAUAUAUGCAUGGAUUUUUAAGCAAUAUGUGGAACUGCUUUGCAUGUAUUACAUUUUUAAUAAACAGCAUCAUACCACAGGUGUUCUUGAACCUAGUUUUUUGUUUAGCCUUAUGUUUGUGAGCUUUGUUUAUUCUGAUAUACAUGUUCUAUCUAGUUUAUUCAUUUUUGCUGCUGUAUAGUUUUCCAUUUUGUACACAUAUAAUGAAUUUAUUAUCCAUAUUUAGGUUUCUUCCAGAUUUUUUUUUUAGUACUGAUGAUUGAACAAAGAACCUUGCACAUAUUAGGCAAGUGCUCUAUCACUUAGCUAUAUCCCCAGCCUUUCUACCAUUUUUUUUAAAAUUGUUGUUACAAUUAUCUCUUGAGGGUUUUUUUUUUCUUUAGGUGCUAAGAUUCAAAUCCAGGGCCUAUGUACACAAGUGCUCUACCACUAAGUCCUAAGGUGUUUUUUCCUUUUAAAAUCAAUUUUAUUUAGAUGUAUUUUACAAAAAAAUAAAAUCUACUUAUUUUUAAGUGUAUAGCAUGGUGAAUUUUGAUAAAUUUGUCCAUCCAUGUAAAAAAAUACAUCACCCUCCCAUGGGUCCCUUUUGCAGUCAGCCCUCCUCUCCCUGAGCCUUAACUUAUGCAGAACUAGUCUGCUCUUUGUCCCUUAUUAGAUUAAUUCUGCCUAUUCUAAGAUUUUUGUAUUAAUGGAAUUAAACACCUCCACAGUCAAAAUAUAGUACACUUCAUUGUAGUGGGAAAUGAGGGUCAGGGCAUUGAGAUUUGGAAGUAACACUUUUAUAGUGGCACUAAGGCCUAGAAGGAUAGUUCCCAAAGUCUGAGCCUCAAACACAGGAGGGCUUUUACUUUUAUAAGUAAGCAAGUUUGGAGUACAUCAAGGGAAGAGAGUUUGUGCAAUUCUAUUGGAGGGUGCAUUCUGCAUUCCUUCUUUUUUUUAAUGUGAUGCUGGGGAUUGAACCCAGGGCCUUGUGCAUGCAAGGCUAACACUCUACCAACUGAGCUAUAACCCCACCCUCUACAUGAGUACAAGUUUAUAAACAACCUAGGGACUCUUAGCUCAUACAGCUUAGGAAUUUUUAUUGCACUAAGCCUGAAGGGAGAUUGUUCUGUUCCCGUUACUAUUUCCUGCUUCUGCUACUGUGGUUAUC